GCCGGGUGUGGUGGCGAACGCCUGUAAUCCCAGCUACUUGGGAGGCUGAGGUGGGAGAAUCGCUUGAACCUGGGAGGCGGAGGUUGCAGUGAGCUGAGAUCACGCCACCGCACUCCAGCCUGGGUGACACAGUGAGACUCCAUCUCAA
This is an unclassified non-coding RNA of Papio anubis (olive baboon), 148 nucleotides long. It matches the Rfam family "Metazoan signal recognition particle RNA". From Rfam's summary of the family: The signal recognition particle (SRP) is a universally conserved ribonucleoprotein. It is involved in the co-translational targeting of proteins to membranes. NCBI's taxonomy places the organism in Eukaryota, Metazoa, Chordata, Mammalia, Primates, Cercopithecidae. The record is from Ensembl.